AUACUUACCUGGCAGGGGAGACACUGAUCACCAAGGCAGCUCUCCCAGGGCAAGGCUCACCCAUUGCACUCCGGGUGUGCUGACCCCUGUGAAAAGAAAAAUAAAAAAUAAAAAAUAAAUGAUUUUAUUUAUUUUAUUUUUUAAAUUUUCUUUUUUAC
This 158-nucleotide small nuclear RNA is filed under the name Leptobrachium leishanense (Leishan spiny toad). Its description in RNAcentral is "U1 spliceosomal RNA (ENSLLEG00000017913.1)". It matches the Rfam family "U1 spliceosomal RNA". Rfam says of the family: U1 is a small nuclear RNA (snRNA) component of the spliceosome (involved in pre-mRNA splicing). Its 5' end forms complementary base pairs with the 5' splice junction, thus defining the 5' donor site of an intron. The record is from RNAcentral. Lineage: Eukaryota; Metazoa; Chordata; Amphibia; Anura; Megophryidae.